AUGGGCCUCGGGCCGGCCCGGCCCUUGGGGAUGGCGGGGAAGGUCAGAGCGGCUCCGCGCAGCCGGGCGGGCCCCAGGCUGAGAAGCCGCCCCUCGGGCCUCGGGCGGUCGGCCGCGGGCCCGCAGUGCGGGGGAGCGGGGCCGGGGGGCGCAGAUGGCGGCGGGCGCGAGCGAGGGCUGGGCAGCGGGCAGGGCGAGGCCCCGCGGGAGCCGGACUCCCGAGCCAGGCUCCAUUGUUGUUGGAGCCGAGAAGGGGGAGCGCGGCCGCCCUCGUCGCCCGUGGAGCCGCGCCUUGGAGCCCUUCCAGGCGGGUCCCUGGAGAGGCGGUCAUGGCCGCGCCAGGGGACCGGGGAGCCGGGCGGCUGCGGAGGAGCCGGCUGCAUGGGGUGCUGUGUGUUUUUCAGGGCACCCUGCGUCCGGCAGAGGAGGCGAGCAUCCCGCUCAGGUGAUGAGGAACCCCUCGCGCACCCAGCGCAGAAGGCUGCUGCGGCCGGACGCCUCCAUUGUUUGACCACAAGGGCCGGAUUCUCACCCAGACCUGCAAAUCCAAGAGACACAUCUCUGGAAGAUAAGCGAGCUUCUUCCUCAAGACCAAAAAAGGAGAUGGCAUGAUACCCAUGUAGGGAAUUCCCCAAAGCAAGGCUUGCCAUACCUGGACCCCGAGGAGCCUGCUUGCUGGAAAGGCUUUUGUGUCUGAUGUGCAGGAGGCAGAAUGCCAAACUGACUCUUCAAGGGGCAACCGCAGGGGCUCGAGACCAGCCAGCAGUAUCUCAUCCUUCAAUACAGGGGAUAUACUGUACAGUCCUUUUUCUAGAAGUGAGAAGUACAAGAUUGCUCUACAAGAGGAAGAUUCUAGGGGCUCAAAAACAAAAAG
Molecule: long non-coding RNA, 874 nt
Filed under: Piliocolobus tephrosceles (Ugandan red Colobus)
Lineage: Eukaryota; Metazoa; Chordata; Mammalia; Primates; Cercopithecidae
Description: lncRNA (ENSPTEG00000004077.1)
Source: RNAcentral